Molecule: transfer RNA, 74 nt
Filed under: Eubacteriales Family XIII. Incertae Sedis bacterium
Lineage: Bacteria; Bacillati; Bacillota; Clostridia; Peptostreptococcales; Anaerovoracaceae
Description: tRNA-Gly
Rfam family: tRNA
About the family: Transfer RNA (tRNA) molecules are approximately 80 nucleotides in length. Their secondary structure includes four short double-helical elements and three loops (D, anti-codon, and T loops).
Source: RNAcentral
GCGGGUGUAGUUCAAUGGCAGAACACCGGCUUCCCAAGCCGGACGCGAGGGUUCGAUUCCCUUCACCCGCUCCA